GCGGUGCCUGCGGGCGGGGCAGUGCCCAGAGCCCCCUGGCUGCACCUCCACGUUACGGGGGGGACCUGCCCUCUGCUUCCCGGAGCUGGUCGAGGUUGAUAGAUGGAAAGCUCCAGUCCCUGAAGAUGGACCUCAGGAUGCUGCUCUUCACAAAGCACUCAUGAUUCUUGGAGAAAUUCUUGCUGAGCUGAUUGGCCAAUUGAUUCUGUGCACCUGGAACGUAGACAGCUGCAGUAAUGUCUUUCUUGAUGUAAAAGUGCCAAAACUUUAUCACUUCCCAACAGAACUGAUUGAAGUGGUUUGUUGAACUGGUUUGUUCACACACUAUGUUGCAGUGGUAUUGUCAAGAUUUAUAUAAACAGACGUGCCCCUGAUGUGAGAGAGAGAAAACCCGGCACACAUUGUAAAUCACUCAAAGUUCAAGGACCUUAAUAUAUAAUGAUGCUUCCUGUUCUGUCCUCAAAGACUCCAAAUGCACUCCCCAAUCUAUCGUCGAGGCAUCAGUAACUAUGGUCCUGGUCAGUAAAGGACAAGUGAAAAACUCUCUCACAUACAUUGUUCUGAUCUGUCCACCGCUCUAACGACUGCAGGACCACUGGAGGCACUCAGACUAGGCUGUUGGACUAGACUGACAAUGUGUGAGAUAAACCAGUUUCAACAGGCACACUCUCACAGGUUGAACGACAUAAGUAUAUGAUGCCAUGUAGCCUAGCAACCCCAAACAUACAUGAGCUGUGGUUGAGUAGUGAGAUUUGAGGGACAGACAUAGGUGACAAAUUGUUUGAAACCACUUAUGAGGGAGAAAGGCCCUUGAACUUGUAGAGUCUAGUAGGGCCCCAGUGAACUCAAUUUUUUGGACUGGAAGUAAUGUAGACUUUCCUUUGUUGAAGAUGAGCCUAAGUUGAUCGAAAAGAGACAGUCUGAAUUGGACGUGAUGGAGGACUUGGCGUUCAGACUUGCCCCUCACUAGCGAAUUGUCCAGUAAGGGAAGCCCCAAAUCCCCAUUCUCCUGAGAUGGGACAUCACUCCAGUCAUGCACUGGGUGAAUACAGCCGGGACUGAGGACAGGCCAAAAAGGAAUACAGUAGAACCUCAGAGUAACUAACACCUCAGGAAUGGAGGUUGUUCGUAAUGCUGAACAAAAUGUUCUGGUUGUUCUUUCAAAAAUUUACAAGUAAACAUUCUUAAUAGAGCUUCGAAACUUUA
Molecule: long non-coding RNA, 1206 nt
Organism: Gopherus evgoodei (Goodes thornscrub tortoise)
Lineage: Eukaryota; Metazoa; Chordata; Testudines; Testudinidae
Exons: 2
Source: RefSeq, a predicted model, not a curated record